Molecule: long non-coding RNA, 2769 nt
Filed under: Lactuca sativa (garden lettuce)
Lineage: Eukaryota; Viridiplantae; Streptophyta; Magnoliopsida; Asterales; Asteraceae
Description: long non-coding RNA (LSAT_LNC001304)
Source: RNAcentral
GAAAGUAUCACAAAAUAAAGUAAACAGGAAAAUAUACUACUGAAAGUGUUGUCAUUGGGUACUAGGACCAACACAGCCUAGGUAACUGUUAUCCCGAGGUACUAGGUUUAACACUACCUAUAUAACCUAAUGAACAUCCGAAGAUUGUCCAAUUGUCCUCUGUAGCAGCAGCAGGUGGGAGGAAGGGUUAGUCCCUGUAAAGGUACUCCUAGUAUAAGUAAUAACCGUAGGCAUCUUUAUAUGUUCAUUACCCACUGUUGCUAACAGAUGGGUUCCGGAAUGGUUAGUCCCGUCCAUAUAUCCCGAGGUACUAGGGAUAGAGCCCUAUUCUAGAUAUCCCGAGGUACUGGGGAUAUGCAGGAUAAUUUACACAGAAGGUACUAAUAAAUUAUCCUCGCAAUUUGUGAUACAAAUAUUCAAAUAAGUAUACACAGGUAAAGGUAUCAACGUAAAGGUACUCAUGUAAUGUGUUCAUGUAUCAGGUAAACAUAUGUAAAGGUACUCAUGUAUCAGGUAAGGUACUAGUAAAGACUCAUGAAUGAACUGACUCUUGUGUGAUUCCUUGUAAUAGGAAUAAUGUUUUGUUAUCUUCAAAUUAUCCCUAUGAUAAUUUACUGUAAUCUAACUAGUUGAUCAUGUAAGUUUACACACUCUUACUACUCAAGGGUGUGGGAAACUAAAUGAAAGAUGCAAACUAUAACAUCAAUACAUAUAUAAGAAUAUAAGUGUAUAUGCAUAGUUUAGUUCAAGAAUGAAAAAUGGUUUUUGUAAGACAUUUUAUGGGUUUUGAACAAUAAUUAACAAUGACUUGAUGUCAUUUUAAUAAACAUUUCAAAGAUAAAACAUUUGGUAACAAUGCGCUUUUAAGAUGUAAAACCAUUUCAUGCAUCACAUUUUGUAGCAUGUGAAAUCUGUUAAAUGACAAACACAGUUAUAAAAUACAUAUCAAUGAUUUAAUAACANCGUUACGGCCAUGUAUAAUUGAGAUGGAUAGACCUAGAGUGAGUGAAUGCCACCUCAUUACAUGUUCCUUGUUUGGUUGUGGAUUUAGGGCGGAGUCGCUCAGUCAACAAUCCUCCCCACCUUAAUUAUACAUUACUAGUAUAUGUUUGGCGAUUAUAGAAAUGCCUCGUGAAAAUCCAUUCAUGAAAAGGUACUUUACUCAAAAACACUCAGGACCCUCUAUAGUUCCGCGUCUACUCUAUCGGUCCAAGUAUCCGUGACAGUGAUACACGGGACGAAACCCGAGACGCCUAGAACUUGUAUGCCCGUUCGGCACAUGACUCUAUCGACCCUCAUUCUAUGUCAUGUCGAAGUAUGCUAACUUCGACGCCUCGAUUAAUCAUGGUUCGACGUCGUGCAAACAUGUGUAAAUCCUUAGUGUUGUGUGAGAAGAACUUUCUCCAUAGCCAUUUGGGCAAAUAAAGGUUCUUCUGAACCUAAACAAAAUAAGAAUAAUAAAGACUAAUCCGAUCCGUCAGUCGUCACUCUUUAUCAAAACCUUCCGAAGUACCCAUGAGAAGGGUACCGCGCGCUGUUAACCAACCCUUCUUAGACAGAAAGAAACCGAAGUGAAGAAACUGCAGGUGUUCCAGAAGACGAUAACCACCCGAAGCAUACUCUGUAGGUCCCCCAGAAAGACCCUUCGCACCUCGUAAAUCAGGUUCGUGAACACAUAGGAUAGAACUCAUGGGACUGACUACUAUAACUGAGUAUGUCACACCCCAAAACCACGAACGGUGGAAACGUUCAGGGGUGGAGGACGUCAUGUAUAGUAUCACAACAGUGUAAUAAAAUAAACAAGCAACAACAUCAUCCAUUGCAUUAUAAGUAAAGUUUUAAUACAUGUGUGUUCUUUCAUUGUAGUAAGACACCAAAAUAUAUAAUCAAAAUAAAAGACAAGACUUGUCUGCUCCGUCUUCUCAAAACCUGGCCUUCGUACCUGUCUACUGAUGACCUGAGAAUACAAGUUAUUUUGAAAGCGAGUAUCAGCUUUAAAGCUGGUGAAUUCAUAAGUAGAUAAGUGUUGUUGCCUUGUUUGUGAAAAUAUGUUAUGAAGGCAAUGUAAACCUUUAAAUGAGAAUGUUCAGGUAAGUAUGAAAUCCCUAGAAAAACCCUUAUUUUCUAUAAAUAUGAAAUGUAGUCUUCUACCAAGACCCGAAUGUUCUGUACAUAUGAAGUGUAGUCUUCUACCAAGACCCGAAUGUUUUGUUUGUAAAAUGAUAGUUUUCCUUUAUUUGUUUAGUACUAAAGUACUUAGUCUAACUCAUCGUUUAUGUGAAAGUAUCACAAAAUAAAGUAAACAGGAAAAUAUACUACUGAAAGUGUUGUCAUUGGGUACUAGGACCAACACAGCCUAGGUAACUGUUAUCCCGAGGUACUAGGUUUAACACUACCUAUAUAACCUAAUGAACAUCCGAAGAUUGUCCAAUUGUCCUCUGUAGCAGCAGCAGGUGGGAGGAAGGGUUAGUCCCUGUAAAGGUACUCCUAGUAUAAGUAAUAACCGUAGGCAUCUUUAUAUGUUCAUUACCCACUGUUGCUAACAGAUGGGUUCCGGAAUGGUUAGUCCCGUCCAUAUAUCCCGAGGUACUAGGGAUAGAGCCCUAUUCUAGAUAUCCCGAGGUACUGGGGAUAUGCAGGAUAAUUUACACAGAAGGUACUAAUAAAUUAUCCUCGCAAUUUGUGAUACAAAUAUUCAAAUAAGUAUACACAGGUAAAGGUAUCAACGUAAAGGUACUCAUGUAAUGUGUUCAUGUAUCAGGUAAACAU